This 294-nucleotide long non-coding RNA is filed under the name Homo sapiens (human). Its description in RNAcentral is "HSALNT0263719". Lineage: Eukaryota; Metazoa; Chordata; Mammalia; Primates; Hominidae. The record is from RNAcentral.
CCUCAAAGGACCAUUCUGAAGAACAAGUAAAAAAAGUCUAUGUUUAAGGUAUGAUGAAAACCAUCAUCAGUCAGUAGAAGGUGAGAAUGAGAGCAGGUUGACCUUCAGACCUGUGGAUCAAGAAGAAACAUGAGAUGACCACAGAAAAUACGGUUGCUGAUCCCUGCCUUCAAGGAAUGCUGGCCAGUUUUCUGGAGACUCCCAGCCUCUCAGCUGAGACCACAGGUAGUUGGUCAGACUCUAUACUGCAGGAGGUACCCUGUGCACAUGACAAAAUACAAGAUCAGAUAGAUA